CAAAAACAUGGCUCUUUGAGAUUUAUAUAUAAAGAGUCGGGCCUGCCCAGUGAUGUAUUUUUAACGGCCGCGGUACUCUGACCGUGCGAAGGUAGCAUAAUCAUUUGCCCUAUAAUUGAGGGCUAGUAUGAAUGGUUUGACAUGAGCAUAACUGUCUCCUUAAAAUUUUAUAAAAUUUGGUUUUUAGGUGAAGAAACCUAAAUUAAAUUGAAAGACAAGAAGACCCUAUCGAGCUUUAGAAUAAUUAGUUAAAAAAUAUAAAUAAAACAAUUAAUUUUAAUUAAAAACUUUGGUUGGGGCGACUGAGGAACAUAUAAAGCUUCCUUAAUUAAACAAUGCUGAUAAGCAACGAUCCAGGAAAUCUGAUUAAAAAAAUUAGUUACCGUAGGGAUAACAGCAUAAUCUUUUUUGAGAGCUCUUAUCGAAAAAAAGGUUUGUGACCUCGAUGUUGGACUAGGAUAUCCUAAAGAUGUAGAAGUCUUUAAUGGUUGCUCUGUUCGAGCAUAAAAAUCCUACGUGAUCUGA
RNAcentral lists this ribosomal RNA (525 nucleotides) under Oncomelania hupensis hupensis. RNAcentral describes it as "partial large subunit ribosomal RNA". It matches the Rfam family "Bacterial large subunit ribosomal RNA", at positions 1808 to 2608 of the family's 2925-position model. The record is from RNAcentral. Lineage: Eukaryota; Metazoa; Mollusca; Gastropoda; Littorinimorpha; Pomatiopsidae.